AAUUCUCAUUUGCUUACCCCAACUCUGCCUCUCAUUUUGAAGCCUUCUUAAGAUAUCACGUCGGCUCCAACCUUCUCAAUGCUGCUCGAAGACCCUGGUUCUCUGCGAGCUUUGAUAGGCAACCACUCACAAGGCCUCAAGAUGAGUCUGGCUUCUGGGUGCAGAAGAGUUUCCUGUCAGAGGGAUUCAUUUACUUUCUAGCUGACAAAGUUUCCCUCUCAGUCUUUGUUUUAUGCUGCAGUGUCUGUUCUAGUUAACAGAGAGUCCAGUUGUAUUCUUUUGACCACAUUCUCAUCUGGUGACUUGCUCUGGGUCCUGUUCCUUUCCUCUCUGCUUUGGCCCUGGAGAACACUUUGUCAUUCUUCACUUGCCUCCAAGCCAGGAGCCUUUCCAAUCAGCAUGAAAGCACUCUUAAAGGGCCAGCUUCAGACCAGGAUCCUCCUUCCUGUGCCUCCUGUGUGGCUGGAAUUAAAGCCACGAGACACCACACCUGGCUAUUCAACCCUCUUAAUGGGCAUAUUACUGGUGCAUUAUAUUCUAUGUUUCAUGUUUAAAAUGUUUCAUAAUUUAAAUUAAACAUUUUAACUGGACAACAGAAGUCUAAAGCAUUCUAAGUAGAUAUAAUGUUAAUUGAUUUUAUAUGUAUUGCCUUUUAAUUACUUCUGUUUCUUAAGUAUUUGGCAGUUUAAUUUCCUCAUCAAAUUAUAGACUUUUAAGGGAUGACAGUGUGAUUGCCGUUUCUUGCCUGCUCUCUUCAAUGACUGGAACUGCAUUAAGCAUCCAGUACAUACAACAAAUGAUGGUUAAUUGAUGACAUAAAAUGUGUUUGCUCAGCUGGAAGCUUUACCUGUGAAACAGAUUAGCUAUACAGCAUUUGUAAACAUGCCAUGUCCAAAAAGCAAAUUUGAUUCUUUUUAAUUUCUCCCUUUAUUCUGUCUUUGCUUUGCUCACUUUCCCUCAGCUACUUUCUUUCUGUUCCCCACAGUUUUCUUCAA
Long non-coding RNA from Castor canadensis (American beaver), 995 nucleotides. RefSeq lists it as uncharacterized. Lineage: Eukaryota; Metazoa; Chordata; Mammalia; Rodentia; Castoridae. The record is from RefSeq and is a predicted model, not a curated record.